UACGUAGGUGGCAAGCGUUGUCCGGAAUUAUUGGGCGUAAAGCGCGCGCAGGCGGGUUUUUAAGUCUGUCUUAAAAGUUCGGGGCUUAACCCCGUGAGGGGAUGGAAACUGGAAACCUAGAGUAUCGGAGAGGAAAGCGGAAUUCCUAGUGUAGCGGUGAAAUGCGUAGAUAUCGGGAGGAACACCAGUGGCGAAGGCGGCUUCCUGGCCGGAUACUGACGCUCAAGUGCGAAAGCUGGGGGAGCGAACGGG
RNAcentral lists this ribosomal RNA (252 nucleotides) under uncultured microorganism. Its description in RNAcentral is "partial small subunit ribosomal RNA". It matches the Rfam family "Bacterial small subunit ribosomal RNA", at positions 524 to 776 of the family's 1533-position model. The record is from RNAcentral.